AGUGAACGCUGGCGGUAGGCCUAACACAUGCAAGUCGAACGGCAGCACAGUAAGAGCUUGCUCUUACGGGUGGCGAGUGGCGGACGGGUGAGGAAUACAUCGGAAUCUACUUUUUCGUGGGGGAUAACGUAGGGAAACUUACGCUAAUACCGCAUACGACCUACGGGUGAAAGCAGGGGAUCUUCGGACCUUGCGCGAUUGAAUGAGCCGAUGUCGGAUUAGCUAGUGGGCGAGGUAAAGGCCCACCAAGGCAACGAUCCGUAGCUGGUCUGAGAGGAUGAUCGGCCACAAUGGAACUGAGACACGGUCCAGACUCCUACGGGAGGCAGCAGUAGGGAAUCUUCCGCAAUGGGCGAAAGCCUGACGCAGCAACGCCGCGUGAGUGAUGAAGGUCUUCGGAUCGUAAAGCUCUGUUAUUAGGGAAGAACAUAUGUGUGAGUAACUGUGCCUAUCUUGACGGUACCUAAUCAGAAAGCAACGGCUAACUACGUG
This 492-nucleotide ribosomal RNA is filed under the name uncultured bacterium. RNAcentral describes it as "partial 16S ribosomal RNA". It matches the Rfam family "Bacterial small subunit ribosomal RNA", at positions 29 to 507 of the family's 1533-position model. The record is from RNAcentral.